UCAUAAGCAAAGUAUUAGAUUUACAUGAAUCAAAUGUCAAUUCCAAUCAUCUCUGGAAUCUCAACAUUCCAAGCAGAGACAUUUUCUCUGUUGAAACAGGAUUGAGUCAAGAAGCCAAAGACCAGGCCUGUCACCCACCCCUACACGCAGUCAGCACAUCGCCUUUCAACUUUGGUCCAUGGAGCUGCUGCUGCCAAACCCCAACCUGCUGGCUUCUCAAAUUCUGCCACUUCUUGGAUCAGGGCCCCUUAAUCAGGCAUCAUUUCAAGGCUGAGAAUGAGGUUCCAAGGUUGAAGAGUCAAAUAUUGGUUCUCUGUGGGUACAUGAAAUGAGUUUUUCUUCCCUACCCUGUCUUUUCGUUAUGUCUGUAUCAGUGUCCUGUUGCAGAGAAAAGAAUCUACUCUAGUCAAUAUAACCAGAAGGGAUUUACUUGAGAAUGUUAAAUGCCACACAAGAUCAUUAGGAGUGUUGAAGACCCUGACUCUUGAUGAGGUUUUCAGGAAUCAUUCAGAAAGCUACACUGCAGAACUGGGCUGUCCUUGCCACUGUCCAGAAGCUGUAAGAGCAGGAAACUGCAUAUGACAUCAAGAGGAUNUUAAGGGAGCUGCUGUCCCUGCCACUGUCCAGAAGCUGUAAGAGCAGGAAACUGCAUAUGACAUCAAGAGGAUGAUGCUACAACAUCUGCCAGCUCCAGGGCGACACUACAUCUGCCAAUAGCUGCACCAGUAAAAUGGACUUCUGGUAUCCUGAUUCCCUAGCCAUAUGACUUAGUUUGAAAUAAAAAUUUUGUCCUAGUUCA
Molecule: long non-coding RNA, 799 nt
Filed under: Vulpes vulpes (red fox)
Lineage: Eukaryota; Metazoa; Chordata; Mammalia; Carnivora; Canidae
Description: lncRNA (ENSVVUG00000023896.1)
Source: RNAcentral